UUCUUUUUUUUUUUUGCCUCUUGAUCUUUAUUUUUGUUUCUUUAAAUUACAACAAAAUUUAUUCCAGCAUAUCCAAUAAAUCAAAAUUCAAACACGUCACCUACCAAUAAGUGAUCAUAGGUCCACGUAUAAUCGAAGCUCCCUUACCCCCCUCUCUAUGGGAGGAUUAGUAACUGAUCCCUUGCUGUAAUUAAUUCCCCUCCUUAUUCUAGUUACCUCAACUAUCAAAAUGCAUUUAUUCCCCGUAAAAGAUCCAUUCACAACCAAUAAUCUUUAAAAUCUGAGCUACUAAUGUUUUUCCUAGGAUGUUACACCUUCCUAAUGAAGAUUUGACAUCGUUACAUAUGAUUGUAAGCCAGCAAUCUUGUUGGAGGCCAAGACAGUUAAUACUUUAGUUCUAGAGAAAACUACCCCAUAAGACUGUCAAUGGUCGUCUAUAAAAUCAAUGCCAAAGUCCCCGCUAUACAAGUUGUUGAGCAAUUUAUCCAAUUGAAGAAUAUGGGGUUCAGUCUCUGAUUUUUUCCUAAAGGACACAGGAAAAACUCCGAUUCCGAUUUUUGGGGAAUACAUUGUUGCCAAAGAAGCGGGCAAGACCCUUUCAAAGUGUUCUUUGAAAUCCAAUCAGCGACUCGAUUACCAGUUCUAUCAACAUGCGAAAAAUAAAUAUCAGUAUUGGAUGUCCAUGAUAAAAUAUCUUCAAUAAUUAUAGACACAUCACACAUCCCAGGGAAUCUUCCUGUGCUUACCAUGGAUCAUGUUCAUAGCUUUCACGCAGUCAGACUCUAGGAUCACAUGUUACCAGCAAUUGCGAUUGAUGAGGACCGAACCUAACCUAAUCGUCCAGGUUUCGCUACGAACGCACUCGCUGAGUAUGUUUGUGCGUUGAUUCUGUCAAGAGAUUGCUAUUCCUUGCAACAGCCUCAUGACCAGCAGAUUUUAAGCUGACCAGCCGCAAAAGACAAAAACAGAGCAGAAAACAGCAGCAGGGAUACAGAAGCCAAACCAAAUCAAGCAAAAAACAGAGCAGAAAGACAAGAAGCCCUCACUCCAAGACCACUCCGAAAAGCAGAUAAACAUGAACAAAAACAGGGUGAACGAAAUCAAGAGAGUCGAGGGACAAAACUUACCUCAAAACCUCUGAACCAGAAAACGCGAGAAAGAAACCCCAAACUGGAAAAACAAAGCUGUAGACGCUCAGUAGAGAGAAAAAAAGUUCUACUCAAGGGAGAGAAAAUGGGGAGAAUCCCACCGGCGGGGAUGGAGAAAAUCGACCUUAUGAGUGGCGAUUUGUAAUAUUAUUUUUAAACCAUAAAUCGGGUUUGGUCUCUGAUUAUGACAAACAUCAGCACUGUCAGCUAUCAAGCGCAGGUGAAUGGUGACAAAGCAAGAGAGGUCUCAGACAAGGGAAUCAUCUUUAUUCUUGCUCAAAAUUCACUUCCCUUACCACUUCUGAAAACCGAAGCAACGGAGAUUCCUGGUAUGAAAAUUAGAAGGAAUACUCGGGUAAUAUCACAUUUUGUCUUUGCUGCUGAUGAUGUUUACAUUCUUUUCAGAUCUAAUGUCAUACUUGAUACUUGGCACAAGAGCUUUCAGGUUGCCACCCAAAGUCCCAAAAACAAUGACCUUAAAAAAAAUGGUACAAGAUCUAUACGACCCUCAAGGAAAGUUAUCUGGAGUGUCCUCGUUUAAAACUCAACGACAGUGUUCAUUAAUGAUUUUUACGAGUCGUAAAUUGACGAUGCCACGUUAGCAAGACACAUCGUCGAAAUCCUCUGGAAGGAUUUUCUUUUGAUUAUUGAUUUUACCUGUUUGUUUGUUUGAUUAUUGAUUUUCUUUAGUAGUACAGACAGAUGGGCCUCACUGAAAUUGUCCAACGAGAUAUGAGGUUUUGAUUCCGAAAACCCAACAGGAACGGGUCAAA
Molecule: long non-coding RNA, 1921 nt
Filed under: Gossypium barbadense (sea-island cotton)
Lineage: Eukaryota; Viridiplantae; Streptophyta; Magnoliopsida; Malvales; Malvaceae
Description: long non-coding RNA (GBAR_LNC003811)
Source: RNAcentral